GGGAACGUACCCUUUGGUGCGGAACAACGUCUGGAAACGGACGCUAAUACCGCAUAAUAUCUACGGAUCAAAGAUUUAUCGCCAAAGGAACGGCCCGCGUUAGAUUAGGUAGUUGGUAGGGUAAUGGCCUACCAAGCCUACGAUCUAUAGCUGGUUUGAGAGGAUGAUCAGCCACACUGGGACUGAGACACGGCCCAGACUCCUACGGGAGGCAGCAGUUAGGAAUAUUGGACAAUGGGGGAAACCCUGAUCCAGCCAUGCCGCGUGUGUGAAGAAGGCCUUAGGGUUGUAAAGCACUUUCAUCUGCGAAGAUAAUGACAGUAACAGAAGAAGAAGCUCCGGCUAAAUUCGUGCCAGCAGCCGCGGUAAUACGAAUGGAGCGAGCGUUGUUCGAAAUCACUGGGCGUAAAGCGUGCGCAGGCGGUCAUGAAAGUUAGAAGUGAAAUCCCAGGGCUUAACCUUGGAAUUGCUUUUAAAACUCCAUGACUGGAGUACUGGAGAGGUUGGCGGAAUUCCGAGU
This 520-nucleotide ribosomal RNA is filed under the name uncultured bacterium. Its description in RNAcentral is "bacterial SSU rRNA". It matches the Rfam family "Bacterial small subunit ribosomal RNA", at positions 120 to 674 of the family's 1533-position model. The record is from RNAcentral.